CAUGUCUUUUUGAUUAUAAUUUAAAGUCUGGUCUGCUCAAUGAGGAAUUAAAUUGCCGCGGUAUAUUGACCGUGCGAAGGUAGCAUAAUAAUUAGUUUUUUUAUUGAAAGCUUGUAUGAAUGAUUGGACGAGAGAAUUACUGUCUCUUUUUAAUUUAUUAUUGAAUUUAAUUUUUAAGUUAAAAAGCUUAAAUUUUUUUUAAAGACGAGAAGACCCUAUAGAGUUUUAUAUAAUAAUUGUUUGUGUAUAUAUGGAAUUUUAUAUAUAUUAAUAGUUUUUAUAUUUGGUUGGGGUGACUUGAAGAUUUAAUAAACUCUUUAUAUUAAAAUCAUUGAUUUAUGAAUUUUAAAUCUAAUAUUAUUAAAUUUAAGAUAAAUUACCUUAGGGAUAACAGCGUAAUUCUUUUUUAGAGUUCUUAUUAAAAAAAGAGUUUGCGACCUCGAUGUUGGAUUAAAAUUAAUUUUUGGUGCAGAAGCUUAAAAAUUGGGUCUGUUCGACCUUUAAAAUUUUACAUGAUCUGAGU
This 523-nucleotide ribosomal RNA is filed under the name Sossor hageni. Its description in RNAcentral is "partial large subunit ribosomal RNA". The stretch from base 387 to 523 matches the Rfam family "Bacterial large subunit ribosomal RNA", at positions 2473 to 2610 of the family's 2925-position model. Lineage: Eukaryota; Metazoa; Arthropoda; Insecta; Coleoptera; Elateridae. The record is from RNAcentral.